Non-coding RNA from Mycena rebaudengoi, 90 nucleotides. NCBI's taxonomy places the organism in Eukaryota, Fungi, Basidiomycota, Agaricomycetes, Agaricales, Mycenaceae. The record is from the annotation of a GenBank genome assembly.
GGCCCAGUGGCGGAUGGUCCGCGUCUGCAUAACUUACGGAAGAGAUACUUUUGUACGCAGAAGUAGCUCGUUCGACUCGAGCCUGGGCCA